AUACGGAGGGGGUUAGCGUUGUUCGGAAUUACUGGGCGUAAAGCGCACGUAGGCGGACUGGAAAGUUGGGGGUGAAAUCCCGGGGCUCAACCCCGGAACUGCCUCCAAAACUUCCAAUCUAGAGAUCGAGAGAGGUGAGUGGGAUUCCAAGUGUAGAGGUGAAAUUCGUAGAUAUUUGGAGGAACACCAGUGGCGAAGGCGGCUCACUGGCUCGAUACUGACGCUGAGGUGCGAAAGCGUGGGGAGCAAACAGGAUUAGAAACCCUAGUAGUCC
Molecule: ribosomal RNA, 274 nt
Filed under: uncultured bacterium
Lineage: Bacteria
Description: partial 16S ribosomal RNA
Rfam family: Bacterial small subunit ribosomal RNA
Source: RNAcentral